Molecule: ribosomal RNA, 253 nt
Filed under: uncultured bacterium
Lineage: Bacteria
Description: partial 16S ribosomal RNA
Rfam family: Bacterial small subunit ribosomal RNA
Source: RNAcentral
UACGGGGGGGGCAAGCGUUGUUCGGAAUUACUGGGCGUAAAGGGCUCGUAGGUGGCCAACUAAGUCAGACGUGAAAUCCCUCGGCUUAACCGGGGAACUGCGUCUGAUACUGGAUGGCUUGAGUUUGGGAGAGGGAUGCGGAAUUCCAGGUGUAGCGGUGAAAUGCGUAGAUAUCUGGAGGGACACCGGUGGCGAAGGCGGCAUCCUGGACCAAUACUGACACUGAGGAGCGAAAGCCAGGGGAGCAAACGGG